CGUUCCUGUUCUAAAAUACACGGCUGCAUGUGCUAAGUGCUUUCUAGAGUAUUGUGACUUGUGUCAGGGUGGUGGUGACAGAAGGAAUGAAUCUGUUCAUUUGUUUAUGCCCGCUGGUGGAAAACAAACUGAAUAUCAGCCAACAUAAUUCAGUUGACACUGUUCUGAAAUAUCCUCCUCCCACACAAAGCAGGAUUUCACAUUUGCAGAAAAUAUUUAUCUCAACAGCAAGCAAGCCCAUACUGGCUCAUUUCAUAGCUUUAAAUCACCACAUGAAGGAACGUGACCAGGCCAAGUCUGGAGUGCUCCGGCUCAGGUAGGGAUGAAGCGUGUCACCAGUUCCCAGGGGCUAUCAGGGAGAUGGCAGCAGGCUCCACAUGAAACAACCUUCGGUCAGUUGUUUUGCCCCACUGGCCAACAUGGACAGGUCACUAUGGCUUGACAUCUGCUUGAAUGCCAAGCGGAAAGUUUGAAGAAGGCAUUUCAUUAUCUCAAUCAGGAUUACGUCCUGUGCUCUUGAAUGAUAUUCCAAGUCAGGUUACAACUUUUCUCUUAUGUCUCAUAAUUGUUUCAGUAAGAAUAAAUGUUGAAAGGGAAAUGUAUCCCAUUUGUAAAAACCUUGAAACAGUUAAGCAAUGAACCCAAUUAAGUAGCCUUUUUUUCCCAGAAGAAAGUAAUGUUUUAAAUCAAUUAAUUAAUUCUUUUUAUAAGCGUGUAUUGCCGUCACC
RNAcentral lists this long non-coding RNA (728 nucleotides) under Marmota monax (woodchuck). The record is from RNAcentral. Lineage: Eukaryota; Metazoa; Chordata; Mammalia; Rodentia; Sciuridae.